UACAGGGGGAGCAAGCGUUAUCCGGAUUUACUGGGUUUAAAGGGUGCGUAGGCGGCUUUUUAAGUCAGUGGUGAAAGCCUAGUGCUCAACACUAGAACGGCCAUUGAAACUAUUAAGCUUGAGUCAAGGAGAGGUAAGCAGAAUUUAUGGUGUAGCAGUGAAAUGCUUAGAUAUCAUAAGGAAUACCAAUAGCGAAGGCAGCUUACUGGCCUUGUACUGACGCUGAGGCACGAAAGCGUGGGGAGCAAACAGG
This 253-nucleotide ribosomal RNA is filed under the name uncultured bacterium. RNAcentral's name for it is "partial 16S ribosomal RNA". It matches the Rfam family "Bacterial small subunit ribosomal RNA", at positions 524 to 776 of the family's 1533-position model. The record is from RNAcentral.